Long non-coding RNA from Denticeps clupeoides (denticle herring), 1159 nucleotides. The record is from Ensembl. Lineage: Eukaryota; Metazoa; Chordata; Actinopteri; Clupeiformes; Denticipitidae.
UUCUGGUUUUGCGUCCACAAUAAACCUGGAGGGGAACUUGUUCUGAUCCAACUUCUUGGUUCCUGACCUGCUUUUCCUGGAAACCACACACUAAUUAAAGAUCUCUGGUAAUAUGGAGCAGUCACAGAGUCUUGGUUUAAUUUGUUUCUUCUGGACUCUUCCCUUCCUCGUUCAACCUUCUCCAUGUUAUGGAAGAUGUGCUUUCUUGUCGUUGUAACACUGAUGUUUCGUCGUACCCGACUUCUAGAACCCAGAUGGCUCACAGGCAGGGCCGGGCGCCGCCCAAAUCCCGCCGGGCUGUGCAGGAAUGCACAGGUGGCACCGUGAGCCACGCCCACACCCAGCCACACCCUCUUCACACGGAACAGCUUGCUGAAAGGGACCAGGAUGUCGCCAGGCUGCAGGAGUCUCUGAGGAGAGAACGGGAGAAGGUCUCUCCCUCCACCUCUCACAGAGUCCAAAAAAUCUGAAAAACUUCAAUUUAUCCCAGAGAUUUUAUCCACAGAGAAUAAUAUAAUUACAAUAGUAAAAAUAGUACAAUACAAUCUACAAUAAUAACUUAUUGUAUAUAAAUAAAAUAAGGGUACAAAUACAACCAUUAUUAUGAAAUAUAUAUAAAGCACUUUGUGUGCUAAAUUUCUUAAAAUUGUCAUUGUGAGACUGCAGCACAGCACACGGUGAAACGAGUCCUCUGUAUUUAACCAUCACCCUUGGUGAGCAGUGGGCACCAUGACAGGCGCCUGGGGAGCAGUGUGUGGGGACGGGACUUUCAUCAAGGGGACCUCAGCGGUUUGGGAUUCGAACUGGCGACCUUCUGGUUGCGGGUCGGUUCCCUCGCCCGCUUGUUUGGGGUAUAAAUGGCGUAUAUCCAGUUUGUAUAGAGACAUCUCAACAUGUAGGUGGAGCUGAAACCGGUCACUGAAGCUCCGCCGUUUGUGUUUUUGUCUCGUGGUGGCCGCGCCCUGUUUUGUCUGGCUGUGGGCGGUAACUUCAGCUACGUAAAAUAUAUAUACGUAAUGUGCAUAUUCCAGAGGGUGGUAUGGUCUGCUGAUGUUAUUUAUUCAGAUGGCCUACUGAAUUAGUUGUGUUCAUAAUGGGUAACAAGCUCGUCUAUGAACCAGAAGACCCACAUUCAAACCCCACUUACUAGCAUUGUGUC